AGAAUCAACGCUGGCGGCGUGCCUAACACAUGCAAGUCGAACGAGAAAGGGGUAGCAAUACCCUGAGUAAAGUGGCGCACGGGUGAGUAACACGUGACUAACCUACCCUUGAGUGGGGGAUAACUGAGGGAAACCUUAGCUAAUACCGCAUAAUACCCACGGGUCAAAGGAGCAAUUCGCUCGAGGAGGGGUCGCGGCCGAUUAGUUAGUUGGCGGGGUAAUGGCCCACCAAGACGAUGAUCGGUAUCCGGCCUGAGAGGGCGCACGGACACACUGGAACUGAAACACGGUCCAGACUCCUACGGGAGGCAGCAGUGGGGAAUUUUGCGCAAUGGGGGAAACCCUGACGCAGCAACGCCGCGUGGAGGAUGAAGUCCUUCGGGACGUAAACUCCUUUCGAUCGGGACGAUUAUGACGGUACCGGAAGAAGAAGCCCCGGCUAACUUCGUGCCAGCAGCCGC
RNAcentral lists this ribosomal RNA (461 nucleotides) under uncultured bacterium. RNAcentral describes it as "SSU rRNA". It matches the Rfam family "Bacterial small subunit ribosomal RNA", at positions 26 to 518 of the family's 1533-position model. The record is from RNAcentral.